AUUGAACGCUGGCGGCAUGCCUUACACAUGCAAGUCGAACGGCAGCGCGGGGCAACCUGGCGGCGAGUGGCGAACGGGUGAGUAAUAUAUCGGAACAUACCCUAGAGUGGGGGAUAACGUAGCGAAAGUUACGCUAAUACCGCAUACGCACUAAGGUGGAAAGUGGGGGAUCUUCGGACCUCAUGCUCAUGGAGUGGCCGAUAUCUGAUUAGCUAGUUGGUGAGGUAAAGGCUCACCAAGGCGACGAUCAGUAGCUGGUUUGAGAGAACGACCAGCCACACUGGAACUGAGACACGGUCCAGACUCCUACGGGAGGCAGCAGUGGGGAAUUUUGGACAAUGGGGGGCAACCCUGAUCCAGCAAUGCCGCGUGAGUGAAGAAGGCCUCGGUGUAAGCUCUUUGUCUAGGAGAACGGU
This 416-nucleotide ribosomal RNA is filed under the name uncultured bacterium. RNAcentral describes it as "bacterial SSU rRNA". It matches the Rfam family "Bacterial small subunit ribosomal RNA", at positions 30 to 453 of the family's 1533-position model. The record is from RNAcentral.